UGGGGAAUAUUGCAUAAUGGAGGGAACUCUGAUGCAGCGACGCCGCGUGAACGAAGAAGGCUUUCGAGUCGUAAAGUUCUUUUAUAUGGGAAGAUAAUGACGGUACCAUAAGAAAAAGCCCCGGCUAACUACGUGCCAGCAGCCGCGGUAAUACGUAGGGGGCUAGCGUUGUCCGGAAUCACUGGGCGUAAAGGGUUCGCAGGCGGAAAUGCAAGUCAGGUGUAAAAGGCAGUAGCUUAACUACUGUAAGCAUUUGAAACUGCAUAUCUUGGGAAGAGUAGAGGUAAGUGGAAUUUUUAGUGUAGCGGUGAACUGCGUAGAUAUUAAAAAGAAUACCGGUGGCGAAGGCGACUUACUGUGCUCAUUCUGACGCUGAGGAACGAAAGCGUGGGUAGCAAACAGG
RNAcentral lists this ribosomal RNA (403 nucleotides) under Verrucomicrobiota bacterium. RNAcentral describes it as "Verrucomicrobia bacterium partial 16S ribosomal RNA". It matches the Rfam family "Bacterial small subunit ribosomal RNA", at positions 355 to 776 of the family's 1533-position model. The record is from RNAcentral. Lineage: Bacteria; Pseudomonadati; Verrucomicrobiota.